CCUACGGGAGGCAGCAGUGGGGAAUAUUGGGCAAUGGGCGCAAGCCUGACCCAGCGACGUCGCGUGAGGGAUGAAGGCCCUCCGGUUGGUAAACUUUUUUUAUAGAGAAGUAAAGUGAGGCGAGUGUUCCUUUAUGUAUUGACUUUAUGAAUGCGGAUCGGCUCACUCCGUGCCAGCAGCCGCGGUAAUACGGAGGAUCCGGGCGUUGUCCGGAUUUAUUGGGUUUAAAGGGAGCGUAGACGGGUUGGUAAGUCAGAUGUGAAAGAUUGCGGCUCAACCUGAAAAUUGCAAUUGAUACUGGAAGACUUGAGUACAGUAGAGGUAGGCGGAAUUCGUGGUGUAGCGGUGAAAUGCUUAGAUAUUACGAAGAACUCCGAUGGCGAAGGCAGCUUACUAAACUGCAACUGACAUUGAGGCUCGAAAGUGUGGGUAGCAAACAGGAUUAGAUACCCUAGUAGUC
Molecule: ribosomal RNA, 460 nt
Filed under: uncultured bacterium
Lineage: Bacteria
Description: partial 16S ribosomal RNA
Rfam family: Bacterial small subunit ribosomal RNA
Source: RNAcentral